AGAGUGAACGCUGGCGGUAGGCCUAACACAUGCAAGUCGAACGGCAGCACAGUAGGAGCUUGCUCUUACGGGUGGCGAGUGGCGGACGGGUGAGGAAUACAUCGGAAUCUACCUUUUGGGUGGGGGAUAACGUAGGGAAACUUACGCUAAUACCGCAUACGCCCUUCGGGGGAAAGCCGGGGACCAGCAAUGGCCUGGUGCUGAUAGAUGAGCCGAUGUCGGAUUAGCUAGUUGGUGAGGUAAUGGCUCACCCAAGGCGACGAUCCGUAGCUGGUCUGAGAGGAUGAUCAGCCACACUGGAACUGAGACACGGUCCAGACUCCGUACGGGAGCAGCGAGUGGGAAUAUGGACAAGU
Molecule: ribosomal RNA, 356 nt
Filed under: uncultured soil bacterium
Lineage: Bacteria
Description: bacterial SSU rRNA
Rfam family: Bacterial small subunit ribosomal RNA
Source: RNAcentral